Non-coding RNA from Caenorhabditis elegans, 21 nucleotides. The record is from Ensembl. Lineage: Eukaryota; Metazoa; Nematoda; Chromadorea; Rhabditida; Rhabditidae.
UUGGGGUAAACUUGAGGGAAA